Non-coding RNA from Schistosoma rodhaini, 194 nucleotides. The record is from Rfam. NCBI's taxonomy places the organism in Eukaryota, Metazoa, Platyhelminthes, Trematoda, Strigeidida, Schistosomatidae.
GAAGCUUCUCGGCUCUCUGAGCCAAGAAUAUGUGUAGUAUCUGUUCUUUGCAGUGUAAUUUCUGCAAGUGUCUCUAAAGUGAGACCAAUGAAAUUUUCUGUACUUUUCACCUCCGGAAUGGUGCUGUGAGCCUCCUCAACCCCGUUCACGGGUCGGCCUCGAAUUGCAAUGCCUCGAGGAAUGGCCCAUUAAAA